RNA transcript from Helianthus annuus (common sunflower), 1111 nucleotides. It is a transcript of the gene named auxin response factor 16-like, with no coding region annotated. NCBI's taxonomy places the organism in Eukaryota, Viridiplantae, Streptophyta, Magnoliopsida, Asterales, Asteraceae. The transcript has 4 exons. The record is from RefSeq and is a predicted model, not a curated record.
AAAAAUAAAAGUUAUACGCGUUGGCUUACCCACUUUGACAACAUAGAAUUGUUUUCCCUCCUAAUCUAUAAUUUCCCCCCAAAACCAAUUUCCCUCCCCCAAAAUCUUCAUGUCUGGCUUAAUUUGGGGUAACCAACUAAUCCUAAAAAAAUUCACGCAUACAUAGGAAGACAUCUCCCUCUCUCUCCCUUUCUUGCAGAGAUUCAGUCACACACACAAGAUCCAGCAUCUCAUUCUGGCCACUGAACUUUCUCUCCAUCGGUCUCUUCAUCGUUUAUUCACUUCGCGCUCAUUCUGAGGUAUCGAUCUAACACAUAAUCAAUGGGAUGUUCAGAUGUUCCUUGUCCUGUUCGGACGGUUUUGACGGGAUUUCUGGGCCGAACAGGACUUGCAGAAAAAAAGGUGAAUAAUGCGGCCCCGAGUCACCCUUUGGUGGCUCACUUAGUCACUUACAUCUGAAACAAGCAUUUACAUUGUGGACACAUUAGGUGACCUGAUGCAUAUUAAUAAAUUAACACCUACAGCUGUAACUGAAGGUUCAUUUUUGCCUGUUUUACAGGCCGUAAUAUUACGGUUGGUGAGGCUGAAAGAAGCAGAGUAACAAUUAUAGAGCUGCUACAACAGAGCCCAGAACAAGAUGCUGCAAGUGUACUGUUUUCUUCAACUAUAACCAACAAAAGGAAUUCUGUGAAGGUGAGUGUAGAGUUGGUGGUUGAGGCUGCGAAUCUCGAGUUUGCUAGCCAGCCGUUUGAGGUGCUGUACCACCCUCGCACAAGCACGCCUGAGUUCUGAGUGAAAGCGUCAACUGUAAACGCAGCAAUGCGGUUUAAGUGGUCUCCAGAAAUAAGUCAAGAUGGCUUUAGAUAAAAAGGAUUAGUCGCAAAUUAGCUGGUUCAUGGGCACGAUUUCUUUGUUUGAUGUCAAAGAACAGUUUCGUUGGCCGAAUUCACCUUGGAGGCUUCUUGAGGGAUACUCUUUAUACCGUUAGCUUUAUGAGUGAGAUAUUAAUUAACAUGUAUUUAUAAGUGAGAUAUUAUUGAUUAUGUAUGAAUUAUAACUAAACCGAAUGUUGAAAGAAACAAAGUAAAAUGAAAAGUUGAAACAAAAUGGA